This 589-nucleotide ribosomal RNA is filed under the name uncultured Propionibacterium sp. RNAcentral's name for it is "bacterial SSU rRNA". It matches the Rfam family "Bacterial small subunit ribosomal RNA", at positions 333 to 932 of the family's 1533-position model. The record is from RNAcentral. Lineage: Bacteria; Bacillati; Actinomycetota; Actinomycetes; Propionibacteriales; Propionibacteriaceae.
AGAUUCCUACGGGAGGCAGCAGUGGGGAAUAUUGCACAAUGGGCGGAAGCCUGAUGCAGCAACGCCGCGUGCGGGAUGACGGCCCUCGGGUUGUAAACCGCUUUCGCCUGUGACGAAGCGUGAGUGACGGUAAUGGGUAAAGAAGCACCGGCUAACUACGUGCCAGCAGCCGCGGUGAUACGUAGGGUGCGAGCGUUGUCCGGAUUUAUUGGGCGUAAAGGGCUCGUAGGUGGUUGAUCGCGUCGGAAGUGUAAUCUUGGGGCUUAACCCUGAGCGUGCUUUCGAUACGGGUUGACUUGAGGAAGGUAGGGGAGAAUGGAAUUCCUGGUGGAGCGGUGGAAUGCGCAGAUAUCAGGAGGAACACCAGUGGCGAAGGCGGUUCUCUGGGCCUUUCCUGACGCUGAGGAGCGAAAGCGUGGGGAGCGAACAGGCUUAGAUACCCUGGUAGUCCACGCUGUAAACGGUGGGUACUAGGUGUGGGGUCCAUUCCACGGGUUCCGCGCCGUAGCUAACGCUUUAAGUAUCCCGCCUGGGGAGUACGGCCGCAAGGCUGAAACUCAAAGGAAUUGACGGGGACCCGCACAAGCGG